GAAAUGCGAUAAGUAAUGUGAAUUGCAGAAUUCAGUGAUUCAUCGAAUCUUUGAACGCACCUUGCGCUCCUUGGUAUUCCUUGGAGCAUGCCUGUUUGAGUAUCAUGAAAUCUUCAAAGUAAAUCUUUUGUUAACUCAAUUGGUUUCUACUUUGGUAUUGGAGGUCUUUGCAGCUUCACACCUGCUCCUCUUUGUUCAUUAGCUGGAUCUCAGUGUUAUGCUUGGUUCCACUCGGCGUGAUAAGUUAUCUAUCGCUGAGGACACUGUAAAAGGUGGCCAAGGUAAAUGCAGAUGAACCGCUUCUAAUAGUCCAUUGACUUGGACAAUACUUUUAUGAUCUGAUCUCAAAUCAGGUAGGAAUACCCGCUGAACUUAAGC
RNAcentral lists this unclassified non-coding RNA (378 nucleotides) under plant metagenome. Its description in RNAcentral is "partial contains 5.8S ribosomal RNA, internal transcribed spacer 2, and large subunit ribosomal RNA". The stretch from base 1 to 105 matches the Rfam family "5.8S ribosomal RNA", at positions 50 to 154 of the family's 154-position model. The record is from RNAcentral.